AAGUCGUAACAAGGUUUCCGUAGGUGAACCUGCGGAAGGAUCAUUAACGCAUUCUUGCUUAAUUGCAUCUAACCUUUUAUCAACCCCUUUAGCGAACUGAAAAAGGAGAGGUUAAAGAGGAAACUCUUUAGCUCAUCUUUUUUCUUAUACCCAUUUUUUUUUAACUAUAAACCCCAUAACUUUAUAUUUUUAGUCUGAUCUAAACCUAGAUUUUUAUCUAACGCUGAAACAACUCUUAGCAACGGAUAUCUAGGCUCUC
Molecule: unclassified non-coding RNA, 259 nt
Filed under: fungal sp.
Lineage: Eukaryota; Fungi
Description: partial internal transcribed spacer region
Rfam family: Eukaryotic small subunit ribosomal RNA (bases 1-46)
Source: RNAcentral